This 503-nucleotide ribosomal RNA is filed under the name uncultured bacterium. RNAcentral's name for it is "partial 16S ribosomal RNA". It matches the Rfam family "Bacterial small subunit ribosomal RNA", at positions 30 to 523 of the family's 1533-position model. The record is from RNAcentral.
AUUGAACGCUGGCGGCAGGCUUAACACAUGCAAGUCGAGCGGGGUGAUGGUGCUUGCACUAUCACUUAGCGGCGGACGGGUGAGUAAUGCUUAGGAAUCUGCCUAUUAGUGGGGGACAACAUCUCGAAAGGGAUGCUAAUACCGCAUACGUCCUACGGGAGAAAGCAGGGGAUCACUUGUGACCUUGCGCUAAUAGAUGAGCCUAAGUCGGAUUAGCUAGUUGGUGGGGUAAAGGCCUACCAAGGCGACGAUCUGUAGCGGGUCUGAGAGGAUGAUCCGCCACAAUGGGACUGAGACGCGGCCCAGACUCCUACGGGAGGUAGCGGUGGGGAAUAUUGGACAAUGGGGGGAACCCUGAUCCAGCCAUGCCGCGUGUGUGAAGAAGGCCUUAUGGUUGUAAAGCACUUUAAGCGAGGAGGAGGCUCUUUUGGUUAAUACCCAAGAUGAGUGGACGUUACUCGCAGAAUAAGCACCGGCUAACUCUGUGCCAGCCGCCGCCGUAA